This 253-nucleotide ribosomal RNA is filed under the name uncultured bacterium. RNAcentral's name for it is "partial 16S ribosomal RNA". It matches the Rfam family "Bacterial small subunit ribosomal RNA", at positions 524 to 776 of the family's 1533-position model. The record is from RNAcentral.
UACGUAGGGGGCAAGCGUUGUCCGGAUUUAUUGGGCGUAAAGCGCGUGUAGGCGGCUGGGGAGGUCUGCUGUGAAAACUUGAGGCUCAACCUCAAGAGGUCGGUGGAAACCAUCCAGCUAGAGUCCGGAAGAGGAGAAUGGAAUUCCUGGUGUAGCGGUGAAAUGCGCAGAUAUCAGGAAGAACACCCGUGGCGAAGGCGGUUCUCUGGGACGGUACUGACGCUGAGACGCGAAAGCGUGGGGAGCGAACAGG